This 655-nucleotide ribosomal RNA is filed under the name uncultured bacterium. RNAcentral describes it as "bacterial SSU rRNA". It matches the Rfam family "Bacterial small subunit ribosomal RNA", at positions 96 to 766 of the family's 1533-position model. The record is from RNAcentral.
UGGCGGACUGGUGAGUAACGCGUGAGGAACCUGCCUUUCAGAGGGGGACAACAGUUGGAAACGACUGCUAAUACCGCAUGAUGCGUAACUGGGACAUCCCGGAUACGCCAAAGAUUUUAUCGCUGAAAGAUGGCCUCGCGUCUGAUUAGAUAGUUGGCGGGGUAACGGCCCACCAAGUCGACGAUCAGUAGCCGGACUGAGAGGUUGACCGGCCACAUUGGGACUGAGAUACGGCCCAGACUCCUACGGGAGGCAGCAGUGGGGAAUAUUGGGCAAUGGGCGCAAGCCUGACCCAGCAACGCCGCGUGAAGGAAGAAGGCUUUCGGGUUGUAAACUUCUUUUAAGUGGGAAGAGUAGAAGACGGUACCACUUGAAUAAGCCACGGCUAACUACGUGCCAGCAGCCGCGGUAAUACGUAGGUGGCAAGCGUUGUCCGGAUUUACUGGGUGUAAAGGGCGUGCAGCCGGGCAUGCAAGUCAGAUGUGAAAUCUCAGGGCUUAACCCUGAAACUGCAUUUGAAACUGUAUGUCUUGAGUGCCGGAGAGGUAAUCGGAAUUCCUUGUGUAGCGGUGAAAUGCGUAGAUAUAAGGAAGAACACCAGUGGCGAAGGCGGAUUACUGGACGGUAACUGACGGUGAGGCGCGAAAGCGUGGGG